This 98-nucleotide microRNA precursor is filed under the name Xyrichtys novacula (pearly razorfish). Lineage: Eukaryota; Metazoa; Chordata; Actinopteri; Labriformes; Labridae. The record is from RNAcentral.
CUGAUUUAAUUUCUGAAGCUGCUGUCUGAGCUGAAGGUGAAGUUAAACCUGGUCUAACAUCAACAUCAGCUCAGACAGCAGCUUCAGAAAUUAAACUG